RNAcentral lists this transfer RNA (58 nucleotides) under Phaeomonas parva. It matches the Rfam family "tRNA", at positions 8 to 63 of the family's 71-position model. Rfam says of the family: Transfer RNA (tRNA) molecules are approximately 80 nucleotides in length. Their secondary structure includes four short double-helical elements and three loops (D, anti-codon, and T loops). Further hydrogen bonds mediate the characteristic L-shaped molecular structure. tRNAs have two regions of fundamental functional importance: the anti-codon, which is responsible for specific mRNA codon recognition, and the 3' end, to which the tRNAs corresponding amino acid is attached (by aminoacyl-tRNA synthetases). tRNAs cope with the degeneracy of the genetic code in two manners: having more than one tRNA (with a specific anti-codon) for a particular amino acid; and 'wobble' base-pairing, i.e. permitting non-standard base-pairing at the 3rd anti-codon position. Lineage: Eukaryota; Pinguiophyceae; Pinguiochrysidales; Pinguiochrysidaceae. The record is from RNAcentral.
UGGCGCAAUGGAUAGCGCGCCAGACUUCGGAUCUGGAGGUUGAGGGUUCGAGUCCCUC